RNAcentral lists this ribosomal RNA (2904 nucleotides) under Klebsiella pneumoniae RYC492. Its description in RNAcentral is "bacterial LSU rRNA". It matches the Rfam family "Bacterial large subunit ribosomal RNA". The record is from RNAcentral. Lineage: Bacteria; Pseudomonadati; Pseudomonadota; Gammaproteobacteria; Enterobacterales; Enterobacteriaceae.
GGUUAAGCGACUAAGCGUACACGGUGGAUGCCCUGGCAGUCAGAGGCGAUGAAGGACGUGCUAAUCUGCGAAAAGCGUCGGUAAGGUGAUAUGAACCGUUAUAGCCGGCGAUGUCCGAAUGGGGAAACCCAGUGCAAUUCGUUGCACUAUCGUUAACUGAAUACAUAGGUUAACGAGGCGAACCGGGGGAACUGAAACAUCUAAGUACCCCGAGGAAAAGAAAUCAACCGAGAUUCCCCCAGUAGCGGCGAGCGAACGGGGAGCAGCCCAGAGUCUGAAUCAGCUUGUGUGUUAGUGGAACGGUCUGGAAAGUCCGACGGUACAGGGUGAUAGUCCCGUACACCAAAAUGCACAGGCUGUGAACUCGAAGAGUAGGGCGGGACACGUGGUAUCCUGUCUGAAUAUGGGGGGACCAUCCUCCAAGGCUAAAUACUCCUGACUGACCGAUAGUGAACCAGUACCGUGAGGGAAAGGCGAAAAGAACCCCGGCGAGGGGAGUGAAAAAGAACCUGAAACCGUGUACGUACAAGCAGUGGGAGCACCUUCGGGUGUGACUGCGUACCUUUUGUAUAAUGGGUCAGCGACUUAUAUUCUGUAGCAAGGUUAACCGUAUAGGGGAGCCGCAGGGAAACCGAGUCUUAACUGGGCGUUAAGUUGCAGGGUAUAGACCCGAAACCCGGUGAUCUAGCCAUGGGCAGGUUGAAGGUUGGGUAACACUAACUGGAGGACCGAACCGACUAAUGUUGAAAAAUUAGCGGAUGACUUGUGGCUGGGGGUGAAAGGCCAAUCAAACCGGGAGAUAGCUGGUUCUCCCCGAAAGCUAUUUAGGUAGCGCCUCGUGAAUUCAUCUUCGGGGGUAGAGCACUGUUUCGGCUAGGGGGUCAUCCCGACUUACCAACCCGAUGCAAACUACGAAUACCGAAGAAUGUUAUCACGGGAGACACACGGCGGGUGCUAACGUCCGUCGUGAAGAGGGAAACAACCCAGACCGCCAGCUAAGGUCCCAAAGUCAUGGUUAAGUGGGAAACGAUGUGGGAAGGCACAGACAGCCAGGAUGUUGGCUUAGAAGCAGCCAUCAUUUAAAGAAAGCGUAAUAGCUCACUGGUCGAGUCGGCCUGCGCGGAAGAUGUAACGGGGCUAAACCAUGCACCGAAGCUGCGGCAGCGACACUAUGUGUUGUUGGGUAGGGGAGCGUUCUGUAAGCCUGCGAAGGUGACCUGUGAGGGUUGCUGGAGGUAUCAGAAGUGCGAAUGCUGACAUAAGUAACGAUAAAGCGGGUGAAAAGCCCGCUCGCCGGAAGACCAAGGGUUCCUGUCCAACGUUAAUCGGGGCAGGGUGAGUCGACCCCUAAGGCGAGGCCGAAAGGCGUAGUCGAUGGGAAACAGGUUAAUAUUCCUGUACUUGGUGUUACUGCGAAGGGGGGACGGAGAAGGCUAUGUUAGCCGGGCGACGGUUGUCCCGGUUUAAGCAUGUAGGCUGGUUAUCCAGGCAAAUCCGGAUAAUCAAGGCUGAGGUGUGAUGACGAGGCACUACGGUGCUGAAGUAACAAAUGCCCUGCUUCCAGGAAAAGCCUCUAAGCAUCAGGUAACAUCAAAUCGUACCCCAAACCGACACAGGUGGUCAGGUAGAGAAUACCAAGGCGCUUGAGAGAACUCGGGUGAAGGAACUAGGCAAAAUGGUGCCGUAACUUCGGGAGAAGGCACGCUGGUGUGUAGGUGAAGUCCCUGCGGAUGGAGCUGAGACCAGUCGAAGAUACCAGCUGGCUGCAACUGUUUAUUAAAAACACAGCACUGUGCAAACACGAAAGUGGACGUAUACGGUGUGACGCCUGCCCGGUGCCGGAAGGUUAAUUGAUGGGGUUAUCCGUAAGGAGAAGCUCUUGAUCGAAGCCCCGGUAAACGGCGGCCGUAACUAUAACGGUCCUAAGGUAGCGAAAUUCCUUGUCGGGUAAGUUCCGACCUGCACGAAUGGCGUAAUGAUGGCCAGGCUGUCUCCACCCGAGACUCAGUGAAAUUGAACUCGCUGUGAAGAUGCAGUGUACCCGCGGCAAGACGGAAAGACCCCGUGAACCUUUACUAUAGCUUGACACUGAACAUUGAGCCUUGAUGUGUAGGAUAGGUGGGAGGCUUUGAAGCGUGGACGCCAGUCUGCGUGGAGCCAACCUUGAAAUACCACCCUUUAAUGUUUGAUGUUCUAACGUUGGCCCCUUACCGGGGUUGCGGACAGUGUCUGGUGGGUAGUUUGACUGGGGCGGUCUCCUCCCAAAGCGUAACGGAGGAGCACGAAGGUUAGCUAAUCCUGGUCGGACAUCAGGAGGUUAGUGCAAUGGCAUAAGCUAGCUUGACUGCGAGCGUGACGGCGCGAGCAGGUGCGAAAGCAGGUCAUAGUGAUCCGGUGGUUCUGAAUGGAAGGGCCAUCGCUCAACGGAUAAAAGGUACUCCGGGGAUAACAGGCUGAUACCGCCCAAGAGUUCAUAUCGACGGCGGUGUUUGGCACCUCGAUGUCGGCUCAUCACAUCCUGGGGCUGAAGUAGGUCCCAAGGGUAUGGCUGUUCGCCAUUUAAAGUGGUACGCGAGCUGGGUUUAGAACGUCGUGAGACAGUUCGGUCCCUAUCUGCCGUGGGCGCUGGAGAAUUGAGGGGGGCUGCUCCUAGUACGAGAGGACCGGAGUGGACGCAUCACUGGUGUUCGGGUUGUCAUGCCAAUGGCACUGCCCGGUAGCUAAAUGCGGAAGAGAUAAGUGCUGAAAGCAUCUAAGCACGAAACUUGCCCCGAGAUGAGUUCUCCCUGAGACUUUAAGUCUCCUGAAGGAACGUUGAAGACGAUGACGUUGAUAGGCCGGGUGUGUAAGCGCAGCGAUGCGUUGAGCUAACCGGUACUAAUGAACCGUGAGGCUUAACCUUAC